CAGUGUUGUAGUGAUGAGGGUGGGUGUCUCAGCCCAGUGGGUUAAUAAAGCCCUUUUGUUUACUGUUACGGUAUUAAGUGCAGGACUUUGAAAAGUGCUCUGCUCCCUUUGCCCAGCCAUUUUCAAGGAUUUUGUAAGUAUCCUGCUAGAGGUGAGUUUUAAGGCAAGAUCUGAAGGAUGACUAUGUAGUGACUUUGCAGACUUUUAUAGGGAGUUCCUCCAAUGCAUAAGGGGCAGCAGGGGAAUAAGCACAGAUGUGUUUGAGGUAACAUGGAAAUGAUAGCCUGUAAAGGCUGUCAUCUGUAAUAACUUAAUACCAUGAAGGGCCUAAAUAGCAGAGAUAAGAAGAUUGUGUUGGAUGAGAAAAAGUGGGGCAAGUGGUUGUAUGAAAAAGGUGACAAGGGGUGACAUGAUUGGAGUGAUCAAGACAGGAAGAUGACUUUGGCAAUUGCUUUUUGAAUGAACUUAAGGAGGACAAGAUGCCAUUCUGAUUUGGUGGUGCUAUACACACACUUUGUGUAGGUGUAAAUGACUGCAUGAGAGUCAAGGCUGCGGAGAAUCAGGCCUGUUGUCUGUUGGAGUUCCUACUUUUCCCCAAAAUGAAGCAAGCUGCUAGAACAGCACAGUUUUAAUGGAGUCCCUUCUCUUCAGUUGAAAGCUUUUCUAUUAGGAUGUAAUUAAACACCAAAACAGAAACUUGCAUACCCUGUGAGUAAUAAGCCAGUGAGUUAAAAUCCCAGCCCAACCACACAAGAUUGCUUCCUUACUCACAAUAGUCCCUGAUUUCCCUUCCCUUCUAAAUUCUCCAGAGCAGUGGGCAGGUCCCUUCCCUAGUGGGCAGGGCCUAGCCUCACCAGCAGACUGAACUCCAAUGCUCAGUCUCUGCUUUUUGUGAACAAGUACCAGGGGAUUCCCCUAUCCUUGCACUAUGUGGGAUUUACCUGUAAUAAUGGACAUCCUCUCUCUAUGAACAGGGACCUAGUGGAGGGAUGAGGCUUCCAUGUCAUCACAAACACCACCCCAGGAGCAUGGUGAUUCCCUUGGUGUCUGUCUAAAAAAGGUACUUCUGUAUCCUUCGUACCUGGGACUGGGAUUAAACUAUCAGUUGGACAUGCUUUGCAAAGCAUCAGUGUAAACCGGUGAAUAGAAACCUGGCUGUUUUCUAAUCCAGAUUGAUGCCUUUGCCCAAAUGGACUACUCCCUAGUUAACUGUUCAGCAUUCUUCAGAUCAUACGUUGAUUUGGACUUAAAGCUCUCCACUAACUUUAAUCUAACUACAGCGACAUUUGGCAGUAUCAUUCCUGAGAUAGUGAAUACCAGUGUUAUUCUGACAUAUUUGAACAGAAGCUGAUUAGCUCAUUACAUCUGAAGCGGUAACACAGAACAGCUUGAUAUGAGACCAUAAAAGAAGGCUCAGGAAGCAACAUCAGUGAUCCCAGCAGUCGGACAUAGCAGGACUUUAUUGCAUCCACCUAGCUGUGCAGUUAGUCCAGCCUAUUGGACUUCUUGCUAAGAUGUUAGGAUCCUGAGCUCUGUAGUGAUAACUGGGGUCUGGUCGGCCUUCUCCUGUUGUGAGCCUAACACUGGGAAAGUGGGUAAACGUUUAUAAAGUGUCACAAUAACUUAUAAUAAAGAAUGUUGAUGGGGAAAAGGCACAAAGGGGAGACAGACAGGUCUUUUUGUUUACACUAUUGAUAUGAUUCAAGGACUGUUAAGAUCAUGCCUUUUAAACAAGAGAGGUUUGGGACUGGAAGUCAAUGGACCAAAAUGGGUGUGUCAGAAAUUAGAUCUAAUCGGUGAAUGUAAUAAUGGGAUGGGCUAUUCCACCCAUCUCUUCCUUUUGAGGUCCUUAAAAAGAGACACUUUGGGGAAGAAAACUUGCUACCAUGACAAUGGCUGACUGAAAGGCAAGAGAACAGAAAGGAGAGAGCUUCACCAUCAUGGCUGCCACUGUCUUCUGGGACCCAGGGAUCCACCGUAACACCGUUGGACCUUCUUCACCCUAAUCCUAAUAGAUGUCUUGACCAGAGUGGGCUAGAGAGAGGGAACCAGACGACAUCACCACCUCUACCAGCUGUACUUAAGUUCUGAACACCAUCUAGGAUAUGAGACUUUGUCCUCCCCACCUUAUUUCUUCUCUUUCCUGUCUCUCUCCUUCUGCCUUUGGUUUAGUAAGAGUCUGGGUUAGUGAGCCAAGAUUGUAUAUUUUGCAACACUGCUGUAAGCCUGUGGCUAAAGAGGCAAUUAAAACCAAUGCCCUAAACAGCCUGACACUGGUAUGAGUCUGCCAGGUCUCAGAGUAGCUGAUGA
Molecule: long non-coding RNA, 2310 nt
Organism: Chelonia mydas (Green sea turtle)
Lineage: Eukaryota; Metazoa; Chordata; Testudines; Cheloniidae
Exons: 5
Source: RefSeq, a predicted model, not a curated record